RNAcentral lists this ribosomal RNA (497 nucleotides) under uncultured bacterium. RNAcentral describes it as "partial 16S ribosomal RNA". It matches the Rfam family "Bacterial small subunit ribosomal RNA", at positions 28 to 507 of the family's 1533-position model. The record is from RNAcentral.
GAUGAACGCUGGCGGCGUGCCUAAUACAUGCAAGUCGAGCGAACAGACGCGGGGUUUGUGCCUCUGACGUUAGCGGCGGACGGGUGAGUAACACGUGGAUAACCCACCUAUAAGACUGGGAUAACUUCGGGAAACCGGCGCUAAUACCGGACAAUAUCUUGAACCGCAUGGUUCAAUAGUGAAAGACGGUUUUGCUGUCACUUCUCGAUGGCUCCGAGCCGCUUUAGCUAGUUGGUACGGUAACGGCUUACCAAGGCGACGAUGCGUAGCCGACCUGCAAGAGGGAUCGGCCACACUGGAGCGGAGACACGGACCAGACUCCUACGAGAGGCAGCAGUAGGGUAUCUGCCGCAAUGGUGGAAAGCCUGACGGAGCAACGGCACGUGUGAGAUGAAGGUCUUCGGAGCGUGAUACUCUGUUAUGAGGGAAGAACAAAUGUGUAAGUAACAAUACACGACUUGACGGUACCUAAUCAGAAAGCCACGGCUAACUACGUG